Molecule: ribosomal RNA, 501 nt
Filed under: uncultured bacterium
Lineage: Bacteria
Description: partial 16S ribosomal RNA
Rfam family: Bacterial small subunit ribosomal RNA
Source: RNAcentral
AUUGAACGCUGGCGGCAGGCUUAACACAUGCAAGUCGAGCGGGGAAGGUUGCUUCGGUAACUGACCUAGCGGCGGACGGGUGAGUAAUGCUUAGGAAUCUGCCUAUUAGUGGGGGACAAUGUUCCGAAAGGAACGCUAAUACCGCAUACGCCCUACGGGGGAAAGCAGGGGAUCUUCGGACCUUGCGCUAAUAGAUGAGCCUAAGUCGGAUUAGCUCGUUGGUGGGGUAAAGGCCUACCAAGGCGACGAUCUGUAGCGGGUCUGAGAGGAUGAUCCGCCACACUGGGACUGAGACACGGCCCAGACUCCUACGGGAGGCAGCAGUGGGGAAUAUUGGACAAUGGGCGCAAGCCUGAUCCAGCCAUGCCGCGUGUGUGAAGAAGGCCUUUUGGUUGUAAAGCACUUUAAGCGAGGAGGAGGCUCCUUUAGUUAAUACCUAAAGUGAGUGGACGUUACUCGCAGAAUAAGCACCGGCUAACUCUGUGCCAGCCGCCGCUGUAA